UAUUUUUUGUACAUUCUUAGCACAAAAUUCUCAGGAGCAUCUUGCUCAUACUGCCUAAUGUCAGCUUUCUUGUCACUCAGCUUAUUUUUCAUCACUAUAAAGGAUUUUGGGUUACAAGAGAUACAGAAAGUAUUGGGUUUGCAGUUGUCUAUAGCAAUCUUGGUGAUUGCUGCCCUGAGCACCUCAUAUGGUACUUCUCCAUCCGUCUCCUCAAGCCAGGCUGAAAUUGCCCUACCA
Molecule: unclassified non-coding RNA, 237 nt
Filed under: Hevea brasiliensis (rubber tree)
Lineage: Eukaryota; Viridiplantae; Streptophyta; Magnoliopsida; Malpighiales; Euphorbiaceae
Source: RNAcentral